Molecule: ribosomal RNA, 497 nt
Filed under: uncultured bacterium
Lineage: Bacteria
Description: partial 16S ribosomal RNA
Rfam family: Bacterial small subunit ribosomal RNA
Source: RNAcentral
GAUGAACGCUGGCGGCGUGCCUAAUACAUGCAAGUCGAGCGAACGGACGAGAAGCUUGCUUCUCUGAUGUUAGCGGCGGACGGGUGAGUAACACGUGGAUAACCUACCUAUAAGACUGGGAUAACUUCGGGAAACCGGAGCUAAUACCGGAUAAUAUUUUGAACCGCAUGGUUCAAAAGUGAAAGACGGUCUUGCUGUCACUUAUAGAUGGAUCCGCGCUGCAUUAGCUAGUUGGUAAGGUAACGGCUUACCAAGGCAACGAUGCAUAGCCGACCUGAGAGGGUGAUCGGCCACACUGGAACUGAAACACGGUCCAGACUCCUACGGGAGGCAGCAGUAGGGAAUCUUCCGCAAUGGGCGAAAGCCUGACGGAGCAACGCCGCGUGAGUGAUGAAGGUCUUCGGAUCGUAAAACUCUGUUAUUAGGGAAGAACAUAUGUGUAAGUAACUGUGCACAUCUUGACGGUACCUAAUCAGAAAGCCACGGCUAACUACGUG